GUCUAACCUGCCCACUGAAAUUUUUAAAUGGCCGCAGUAUUCUAACUGUGCAAAGGUAGCAUAAUCAUUAGUCUUUUAAUUGAAGGCUGGUAUGAAUGGUUGCAUGAAAUAUUAACUGUUUCAAUUUAAUUUUAUUUAGAACUUUAUUUUUUAGUUAAAAAGCUAAAAUUUAAUUAAAAGACGAGAAGACCCUAUAAAUCUUUAUAAUUAUAAUUUUAUUAAUAUAUAGAUAAUUUAAUUAAUAAUAAAAUUAAUUAUUUUAUUGGGGUGAUAUUAAAAUUUAAUAAACUUUUAAUUUAUAAAAACAUUAAUUAAUGAGUAAAUGAUCCAUUAUUAUGAUUAAAAAAUUAAGUUACUUUAGGGAUAACAGCGUAAUUUUUUUAGAGAGUUCAUAUUGAUAAAAAAGAUUGCGACCUCGAUGUUGGAUUAAGAUAUAGAUUUAGGUGCAGUAGUUUAAAUUUU
Molecule: ribosomal RNA, 462 nt
Filed under: Diplonevra nitidula
Lineage: Eukaryota; Metazoa; Arthropoda; Insecta; Diptera; Phoridae
Description: partial 16S ribosomal RNA
Source: RNAcentral